This 1750-nucleotide long non-coding RNA is filed under the name Gossypium barbadense (sea-island cotton). Its description in RNAcentral is "long non-coding RNA (GBAR_LNC006007)". The record is from RNAcentral. Lineage: Eukaryota; Viridiplantae; Streptophyta; Magnoliopsida; Malvales; Malvaceae.
UUGGUUAAUAAAACAAAUUUACUUGAUUACAUUAAUAUACUUUGUAUAAUUAUCCUCACAUGGUUUUUGUAUGUAAAAUAAAAUGGAAGAAAAUGUUGCUCAUUAAUUGUCUAAUGUUUAACUAAUACUAAGCGAUAUUACAUGGUUGGAUCGUAGUACGAAAAGACAUCUUAUGUUAAUAAAUCUAAACAUGUCUUUAGUCUAAUCUAAAAAGAGAAAACCGAUUGAAAGAUUAAAAUGUCAUCUAUCAAGUCCAAUUGAGGAGAUGUCUUUUCUUGGGCAUUGUAAUAGGUCCAUUUUGCCCGGCCCGAGCCCAAACCAAUAAAAACAAGAUAAGUAAAAAGAUUCAGCAGUCCAUUUACACAUUAAAAGGACCCAAAUAUAAAACCAAGCCCGAAAAACCCAAAUAACCUAAAUUCCUAACCCACUUCCUACCGGCCCGAUAGGCCCAAUGCCUAAACCAAUCUCAGCUAGCAGGAAACCCUAGUCUCCCUUAGCGCCGCACGUCCCAUGUGCCUCGUCGGCACGUCCAACGCCUGAGGCUCGACUCCCCUUUGUCCCGUUGCACCAAAACGAAAGCCCCCCUUUGUUGACCUUCCCCGACCUGCAAACAUACCCAAAAGAGGAACAGAGACAAGGCAACACGCAAAGGCAAACAGUAGAAAUAGAGGCCUAAAAGAAAAUAAAAAAUAGAUUGUAUUUCGGCUAUAAAGCCAAGAAAGAACAGAUUGUAUUUUUUUUUACAGACGAUUAAGCAAUCAAAAAGCAAAAAACAAAAAAGGUUGAUUUUAAAUCUCAAUUUCUUGUUCUUUUUUCUUUCGAUUUUAUUUUUUAUUUAUUUUUCUACCUUUUAAAUUUAUUUUUUAACAAAAAAAUAAAUAAAAAGGAAAAGGAAAAACUUACCCAAAACCCCGGGUUUGCGUCGCUGGAGUCUUCUUUCCCGUCGUCGGAAUCGACCCAAGGAGGAGGCAGGGGGUUCUUUCUCUUUUGUUUUCUUCGGUCUAGGGAGCCUCACCAUCGAAUCGCCCUUCAAGAGGGUCAAAAACCCGAUUCCAUGAGGCUUUGGACCACCGUCUACGGUGGAAUCCACGGCGGGUUCACGAUGGUCUGACGGCGGCUCAAAGAGGGCUAUAAACCCUAGAAAAAAAUGCAAAUGGGGGGGUAUUCUCUGAAAUUUUUUAGAAAAGAGGAAGCAAAUAAAAAAAUGGCUUAAAUGAUAAUGCAAAAAGGGUAUCGUUUUGCACCUGGGUUUCUAACGCUGAAACGGCAUCGUUUGGAGGGCCCGUGCGCGACCCGACCCACUCUAGGGGGGUCCACGCGUUUCCUUUAAGAGGGAAAAUAUCUACUUUAGUCCCUCCGCUUUUGUGAUGCGCGCAAUUUAGUUGUAUCCUAUUUUUAUUUUUUUAAUUUCAUCACAAACUUUUAACUUUGUUUCAUUCUGGUCCUUAGACCGUUUAAAAGGGUUAAAUGCUUGAAACGAGGGCAUUUUGAAGACAAGGGAUAAUUUCCCUGUUGGUCCUUUCUUGUUUUCAUACGUCAGAUUAUAACCCUUAUGUUAUUUGUUUCAUUUAAUUUGUCUCUUUAACUUUAUUUUAGCAUCAAAUUAACCUCUCGUUUGGAUUCUUUUAUUUAUUCGUCCACUCGCUAUUAUUUGAGAAUUUAAAUUUCAGUUUAUCUUUUAGUUUUGUUUAAGUUCCGACUUAGUCCUUUUGUUCUAAUUAAUUAAUUUAUUUAUUUAUUUACUUGUUCA